UGAGCCAAAAUAAAUCUUUGCU
Molecule: non-coding RNA, 22 nt
Filed under: Mus musculus (house mouse)
Lineage: Eukaryota; Metazoa; Chordata; Mammalia; Rodentia; Muridae
Also listed under: 1 other name
Source: RNAcentral